AUGGUACUCUAUCUAAGGAGUACCAAUCUGACCAUGAAGGUUGGUGUGAUUAACACCCAUCACUCCUAUAUAAAUGUUCCCAGGCCGGCAGUACAGGAUGCUGAUGUGGGCGUAGGAAGGAUAGAGAAUGGGAACAGGAGGUCUCUGGCUGAAGCGUAUGAUAGUUCAUCCAUAUUACAAACACAGGAGCAUGGGGACAGCUGCAGUGGUUAUUCUUCCACAAACAACUCACAGGCACUGAAAAGAGUGCUACAGAGAAUACCCAACUUUUUGGUUACCUUAAAAGACUGGGAGAAGAGGAUUUCCGAUGAAGGCUGCCAAACCUCAGACUCUUUUUUGGAAAAAAUUCAAGGUCCACAGCUAAGAUGGAGCAAUAAUUGUAAUAAUCAGAAUCUCUGUGAUGAAAUAUCAGAAGAAAUCAUGGAACAGCACCUACCUAGUGCCAUUGCACAGUACAAUGUUAACAACAACAGUAAUAAAGAUGAGUAAGUACUCUACAGUUUCAUUAUAAAGUUAUUUGUAUUGUAGAGAAUAGUAAAAAAAAAGCAAUAUACCUAGUUCUUUCCUUGCAAAUUAUUGCAUCAUACAAGUAAUCCCAUAAGGAAUUUCAUGUACAUCUGAACUAUAUGCACAGCAAAUGUUUUUCUAACACAAGUUAGUAGUGU
Molecule: long non-coding RNA, 665 nt
Filed under: Chrysemys picta bellii (western painted turtle)
Lineage: Eukaryota; Metazoa; Chordata; Testudines; Emydidae
Description: lncRNA (ENSCPBG00000024933.1)
Source: RNAcentral